UUCUGGUUUCUUUUGUUUUUUGAAUACUUGAAAACAAUUUAUUAUUUAAAAAAUUUUUAAACAUAUACAACAGUAGCAAGAAUAGGACAAUGAACCCCCAAUUCUCUUCAUUACUAUUCAACAAUUGCUAAGAUUUUUGACAUAUGCUUUACUUUACCAUUUUCCUUUCAUUUCCAAUAUAUUUAAAAGUAAACCCCAAACCGAGGCCCAAAGUGUCAAAGUGUUCUAAUAACUUUUCUUUUUUUCACAGUAAACAUGUUUUGGCUCUUAACACACUUGUCUAAAGUGUGCCAUUUCAGUCCUACAUAAUUCAAUAUACAUUUAAAUAUAUNUGCGGCUGCUGUUGUUGUUGUUAUAUAGCCGUAAUACUGUUAUCCAAGUUGGCAAAAUUGUCCUGGGAUUUUUAAAACCAUGGUCCAAUUUUUUUAAAUUAAAUUUUAAAACUUAAAUGUUCUCAAUUGAAUCAAAAUUAUCUUUUUAAUAGGAUUUGUUUGCAUUAAUAUCUAAUAAAGUCUGAACCUUGCAUUUUGGUUUUAUACCUUUUAAGUCUCUUUAUUUCUGUAUUUUGACUGAUGUUUCAGAAAGGUUGUUGUCUGAUUUCUGAUGGAUUAUCAUAGGGUCACUUCUUAGAUGAGCUAUCUUUAAGUGCUCUUUCUUGUUGAAGAAUACAAAGUGUGGUGGGGAAGGAACCCUUGGGAUUUGAGGUUAUAUUACUGUUAUAAAAUUCUUCCUACCUGUGGAUUUAGCUUAUACAGUUAUUGGAGUAGUAUUAAGUAAGUAUAUAUGUAUUUAUUUAUUCCUCAACUUGUUUAAAAAAUUAUUUGAGAGACUUCACUUACAGGAAAGUAGAUUUUGAUUUUUGUAAUAAUUUUUCCCAAACCACAUGUUUCAGUGAGUCAAGGUCAUUCUAGAGAAUUCUGCUUCUGUAACUAACUGCAAGGGUUAACCAAACUUCAAAGGUUGACAGCAAAGUCCUCUACAAGACUGCCUUCACUGUGGACAUCACCUGUAAAUUUGUAAAGUUCCUGAAACCACCCUCAGGUUUGAUAACUUGUUAGAUGGACUCAAGAAUUCAUUGAAAGCUAUUUACUGAUGGUCAUGGGUCGUUCAGAGAAAGGAUACGGAUGAAAAUCAUCCAAGGGAAGACACAUAAAGACAAGAAUCUGAGAGGGUUCCAAAUGUGAAAACUUGUUCUGAGAAUGUAUCACCCCCCUCUCCCCCACAUUGAUAUGGACGACCCAGGAAGAUCAUCUGAGUUUUAGUGUCCAGAGAUUUUACUAGGGCUCCAUUACACAGGCAUGAUUGAGUGACUGCUCUCAUGGUUGAUCUCAGCCCCCAGGUUGACUGUUACCAGGAGACCCAAAGCCUUCACCAUAACUCACAUGCUUGGUCUUCCUGGUGUGCCCAACUUCCAAUAUAAAAAAGACACUCCUAUCAGGUAUGACAUAGUUACCUCUCAGACGCAAAAGGCAAAGGAGACCUCUCAUCGGGGCUAGGCCAAGUUCUUUUUUAUAUAAAUAAUUUACCUGUUCUUAUUGGCCAUGCUAACUCUAGCCUAUUCCUUUUACUAUAAUACUUCACUAUGGGAAUAAUUUUCACACAAAACUGUUGAGAAAUUUUAAAAAAGAAGAAAGUUAAAUCUUGGAGUAAAUAUCUCUGACAACAUAAAACUAAGACUAUCAAAAAAACAAGGCAACCUUCAAAUAAUUAAAAACAAAAUGAAAGUUAUGGAAGAAUGGCUUGAAAAAUAUACACCAUUUCAAACUACACAAUUAAGAAGGGGAAAAUACAAAUGUUUUCAAUAUUUUAUUUUUGUAAACUUUACUUGUUACUGGGCUUUGCUGUUGAAAGUUAAUCAAGUCUUUUAUCAUAAUCCAUCUCAAGCCUCAAAGUCCUAGGUGAAAUAUCUUAACAGAAAAGAAAAUUCUUAUAAAAAUCAGCAUUUUAUGAACUCAGAUCAUUUCUGAUUCCUGUUAAGCAAAAAAUAUGUGGACAUAUGGUACAAAUUCUCACUCAUUUCUACUUUAUUUUGCAAGCGAGAUGUGUAAAGCUCUUCAAGACCUUUGCUACCACACAUGAAAACAGAGUAAAGAGUUCUGGAUUUACACCUUUUUUUUCCCCAACAUGAAAUUUUAUGAAUUACAUGCAGUGGAAGGUCAAGAAGUAGGUUUGAAUAAAUUAAUGAAUGGUUUCUACUGCACUCAGAAAAUAUUCGAUGAAUAUGAAGGAACCGUGAUUUAAUUUUAUCCUUUUUCUUAAUUAAUUUCUGGAUACAGAACCUCUACUGCAAAGCUGACAGCUAGGUUGGUUAGGUUUCUAUUCAAUUGAGCUUCUGGAUUACCCUGCCCACACAAAUAAAGAAGUAGUUACUUCUAUAAAGGAGCUCUACUCCCUUUAAAAUUUCUGCUUCUUAGUGAUUUUAAUGCUGUUAAGGCGCCAAGUGAGGGCAGAAAACAUCCCUAAAGGCACAAUGGCCUCGGCUAUUGUCUGAAAGUCCAUCAGUUCCAUUUGUGUCUUUAGAAAAAGCAAUCACUCACUGUUACAGAGGACAGAGAGUACAUGGGGAAUUUACAAUGGAACUACUACCAGUUUAAAAAGAACAGCAUUCAUGUUUUUUUUCCACCUUGGAAGUGUUAAAGACUAUAGAUUGCAGCUGAGGGAAAAUUAAGGCCCCUAUUUACACGUUUUCACUGUGCCUGUGAGGCUGAGAAAGAAAUGAACUUAGUUAUGAAUGAAUGCAGUUCACUCAGGCAAUUUCAUCAUUUUGGUACAGGGAAAAUGUCCUUUAAUGUCAUCAACUAGAGAAAGGUGAAUAUUCAGGAAUUAAAAGGCAGCCAGAAAUGUUCACGUGAAAAAGGAAAAGGAAAGGGAUUGGGCUUAGAAAGCAUGCUAAUGCGUGGGGGAUGAGGAAGAAGCAGUAGCAGGUGGUAGAAGCCUCCGAAAUCAGUGAUUCCCAGGUGGGGUGGAAGAAGAUUAAAAUCCCCUGGGGGUGUGGUGUAGUUUUUAAAGGGGCAUUAAGUAUUAUAAUCUUAUAUUUUGAAUACAGAAAAAUACCUUCCAUUUUUGUAACACAAACCUUGGCAAGUCCAGCUCUGUAAAACUUUCUUAGCUGGUGGAGAUAAGUUGGUUCUAACCAAGCAGCCCAGAAAAUUCUCAACAGGAGACUGAGUGGCAUGUCAGAGGGAAGAGGAAAACAAGUACUUCCCCCGGGGUAUGGGUGGGCAGGGGAGGGUUGGGCGUGUGUCUGUUAUCAAGAGAGCAUUUGAUUUUAAAAGACUGAAAAAUACCACCUUGAGUUUUGCGUCUGCAAAAUAUUACGAACACUUUUAGAAGCUUAUUCAAUAAAGGCCCUUACUGUCACGUCAAAGGAACCUUAGAGGAUCUUUACAUCCUAGAAUGCAGUUGUCAUUUGCUACUUUUUGGAAUCUAGCUGACCUCUGGGUGGGGCAUUCUAUCUAGUUUCAGUAUUUGCAGGGCAUCUCUUUCAGAGAAACUCAAAGCACCUUAUAAGCACUUAUAUUUUAAACUUCUCCAAGUGCCUAAAAUAGACUAGAAACAGUAACAUCUAAGGUUUUACCUGCACUCUUCCAAAUCAAUACAUUUGGCUCUUUUCAUGGACCUGAUUGUUGUCCAUCUUGACUAAUCUCUGAUUCAUCAGGGGAAAAAAGUCUAUCAUCAUGUAAAGAUCCCCUAAAAACAUCAAAAUGUUCAAAACUUCUCUGCUUCCACAGCCUGCAUUAACAAAUUGCACCUGUCAGUGAACGCAGAAUAAAUUAGGUGACUGAAUAAAUUAGGUGACUGAAAACCUCUAAGGUAAAUCAGUAACUUUUAAACAAAACAAAACUAAACUAAACUCCAUGAAGGUGAUACACUAUAAUUCUGUCGCUGGCUCAUCAGACCAGGUGCCAAUCAGGUCCUGGCGGGCCAUAUGUGUAUUUAUAAAUAUAUCUGCUAAUGUAAAGGUCGCGCUGCUCACUGCUCAGGGAAAUCAGGCAUAUUUGGAACCAUCCCUAGAAGAUUUUGGUUUCUUAAAAAAAUAUUUUGACAAUUUGUGACAAAUGCAAUCCUGCCCCCAUAUGUUUUGUACUAUUUAAAGGGAAAUGACACUCAGUUGCCUUCACAUCAACACGUGAAUUUUUUCUUUUAAUAAUGAAGUCAGAAGAUGAGAAAGGGGGAGGUCUCCUUCCACACAUAUUUAAAAGAUGUAAGUAUCUUUUCAAACUUCCUAUUUCCACAGUUGCCCAAGAAGACAGAGCUUCAAAAUCUAUGUUACUGGUUCAUGACUUAGGAAGUAACAGAAACUUUUCCUCCAAAUUGGAGGAGGUAGUGAAAAAAUAAUGAAUGACAAGAGAGUGUUGGCAGAUUUUGGUAAGAAAUGCAGUCAUUUGCCCCCUUGCUCUUUUUUUUUUUUUUUUUUUUUUUUUCUGCUCAGUAACUUCUCCCCCUGGGCAUGGGGAAGAAAAGGUCUCUACUCAAAUGUUACCCUCUGCCAUCCUCUAUAGAUAUCUUUUAUGAAUUAAUUUAGAAUAUCCAGACAUCUCAAUCAGGACUGAAAAUGACAUUAUAAGGCUGUGAGAUGCAAAAGUCCAGAAUAAACUUUAUACACUACACACUCAUCUAGUUGCAUCCCACUCCAUUCUUCAGUACAAACAGAAUAACAAGGUUUUCCCAUGGGAUGAAAUACAGAGACUUUAAAAAAACACAACCCAAAUAUUCGAAUGACAUCUUUGGUGAGAAGAAAAGCUUCUGACAAGAGGGAAAGGUAUGAAAAUAUUUUGAGAGAACUUGUUUAAUAGCCCUGCAAUGCCUUCCGUUCCAUUUAGCCCUCGGAUUGAAUAACCACGACAGA
This 4849-nucleotide long non-coding RNA is filed under the name Sus scrofa (pig). RNAcentral describes it as "lncRNA (ENSSSCG00040057614.1)". The record is from RNAcentral. Lineage: Eukaryota; Metazoa; Chordata; Mammalia; Artiodactyla; Suidae.